Molecule: long non-coding RNA, 2339 nt
Organism: Cuculus canorus (common cuckoo)
Lineage: Eukaryota; Metazoa; Chordata; Aves; Cuculiformes; Cuculidae
Exons: 4
Source: RefSeq, a predicted model, not a curated record
UUCUGACUGUUUGCAGCACUCCUAUGGAAUCCUGAUGGUGAAGACAAUUGCUUCUAACUCUCCAUAGUCUCAUAUUCUUACCACAUGGUGGCAAUAUGACUUCCACGUUUCUGCAAAGGAGGGCAAAAAGCCUGUCAAAUCUACUCUAGAUCUGCUCUGCUUCUGGACUUCGUAAAAACCUCUGAUUAAUAGCACAGUGCAUCUAUUCUGUCGUGACAAAAGCAAUCACGUUAUGAAGAAAAGUGUUCCCUCUGGGCCUACCAUUCAUAUAAAGCAUCAGGAGUUACGGGUGCCACUGCUGGGACUGGAAUCUGCAUAGCACUGUGCAAACAGCUCUUGGAAAAGAGAAAGUGAGAAGCAGGUCAUGAGCUGUCACAGUAACCUGGCAGGCGCUGCGGGAAGACUCGGCUGCUGCUGCUGGAGGUGGUGAACUUCAGCAACAAAAAGAGCAUGCGAAGGAAGAGGAGUGUGCUGAACUCUCUGUGAUCCUGUUUCAGCCUUUCUCGCAGCUCCUUUACAGACUGUCUGCUAGAGAUGGCUGCACAGAUGGAAUGAGAUUUCUGCAUAUGCUCUGCGUUCAUCUCGGUAACUCGCUGAAAUGGUGGCAGUGCAAACAAACAUGGGUGUGAGCAUCCCAUCCAGUUCUGUUGGGGAUGUGAGGAAGGCACGUUCUGUAAUCCUCAGCAGGAAUGGGGGAAGAGGAAAAAUAGCCUUGACGUGAUAAACUUCAAUUCUUGCCCAGAUAACAAGAAAUUCCAAAUAGAAAUUGAACAGUGCAGAUAAAGGGCAUGAAAUGAAGAAUGCCAUUGCUUAGGGUUUUGAAAAAGUGGUCCAGAACACAGCAGCAGUUUGCAGAGCUGAUCUUGACGCUAUGUGGCGACUGAACUGGCCACUGGAAAUGGAUUCUUGCUUGUUUCCAGCUUCUCCUUCUUCCUUAAAACACAGCUGGCAACCUAUUAACUAAAUCCAAAUCCAGUUUUUCAUGCGGACCCAACAAAACAACAUGUGCUAUUGAAUAUGGGCUAUGUGACUGCAUCACAUCAACCAGCAAAGCACGAGAAGGUUGGUGUUUCAGCUCAGGGGCAGAUGCACAUGUUUCAAGGACCAAAAGGAGUAUGCCAGACCUCCUGUCCUGUCCUGUCCUGGUCCCCAGGUCACCUUCCUACAGAAACCAUGGUGGAUGGGACAAAAGCAACCAUGUGGUUUCAAUUCCUUGUCUGCAUGGAUACAGAUGUCAUAACACUCAGAUCGUCUUUUGAAAUCCUUCCAUCACUGUUGCAAAUUCUAGUGGACUCUGGUUGCUGAAAGACUACAUGAUCAAAAUGUCGUGAGACCUUGCAGCUCCUCAGGAGGGCAAGAGCAGGCGCGCACCAAGGAUCACCCAUGGGUAGCUAAGCCUGCCUCUGCCAAUGCCUGCUGACACAGCUGGUGCUGUCUGUGGGAAAGCAACUCCCUCUUGGAGAAGAAUUAUAAAUAUUAAAUUCUCAAAGAAUCUUAGAAACAGCAUGGUUUGGGUUAAAAGGGACCUUAAAGAUCAUCUAGUUCCAACCCCUGUGCCAUGGGCAGGGACACCUCCCACUGGAUCAGGUUGCUCAAAGCCUCAUCCAACCUCGCCUUGAACAACUCCAAGGAUGGGGCAUCCUUGACUUCCCUGCACAACAAGUGCCAGUGCCUCACCACCCUCACAGUAAAAAAUUUCUUCCUAAUAUCCAAUUUAAAUCUGCCAUCUUUCAACUUAAACCAUUCCCCCUCUUCCUAUCCCUGCACUCCCUGAUACAGAGCCCCUCCUCAGCUUUUCUGCAGGCCCCUUUAUGUACUGGAAGGCUACUAUAACAUCUCCCUGAGCUUUCUCUUCUCCAGGAUGAACAACAACAACAGCCUGUUCUCACAGGGGAUGUGCUCCAGCCCUUUGAUCAUCUUUGUGGCCUCCUCUGGACUCACUCUAACAGAUCCGCAUCCUUCCUGUAUUGAAUCAUAAAUCAAUCAGUCAAAAUUAUGAUUUAUCAAUCAUAAAAAUACCAAUUCAAGAUUGUCAGGAAAGGAGUCUAAUAUAAGGCAGCUAAAUAAGCCUCCUGGGGGGUUUUGGGUUAAUUUCAUGCAAAUCAUUAAGUCUACUGCUAUGAGAAUGCUUUUGGGAAUCAGGCUGUUUACUUAGGUGUUUAAGUGCUGAUAAGUGAGCAAAAAAUUAGCUAGCCAUGCAAAUAAAUAUUGUUCCACAGCAUUGGUCUUUAUCGUGUGGAUAAAUGCUUUGUUCUGUGUUUUGCUGUCAACAAUGACAAAGAUUCUGUACCCUCCUCACCCCAAAGUAAACUGCAUUCUGCUCAAAGUAGUGCUCUCGU